This is a long non-coding RNA of Myotis davidii, 105 nucleotides long. RefSeq lists it as uncharacterized. The record is from RefSeq and is a predicted model, not a curated record. NCBI's taxonomy places the organism in Eukaryota, Metazoa, Chordata, Mammalia, Chiroptera, Vespertilionidae. The transcript has 3 exons.
AGCAGUAUUUAUUAAAAUACAUUUCUUUUUCAAACUUGAGCUAUCAGCUGUUAAAGUGUAUACACAUUUUUGGGAGACACCCUAUAGUAUUAUGAGUUAUGUUUU